Molecule: transfer RNA, 77 nt
Filed under: Bacilli bacterium
Lineage: Bacteria; Bacillati; Bacillota; Bacilli
Also listed under: 1 other name
Description: tRNA-Arg
Rfam family: tRNA
About the family: Transfer RNA (tRNA) molecules are approximately 80 nucleotides in length.
Source: RNAcentral
GCGCCUGUAGCUCAAAUGGAUAGAGCGUCCCCCUCCUAAGGGGAAGGUUGAACGUUCAACUCGUUUCAGGCGCGCCA